UACGGGGGGAGCAAGCGUUGUUCGGAUUUACUGGGCGUAAAGGGCGCGUAGGCGGUAGCACAAGUCAGUUGUGAAAUCUCCGGGCUUAACUCGGAAAGGUCAACUGAUACUGUGCGACUAGAGUGCAGAAGGGGCAACUGGAAUUCUCGGUGUAGCGGUGAAAUGCGUAGAUAUCGAGAGGAAUACCGGUGGCGAAAGCGACUCUCUGGACGGCAACUGACGCUGAGGCACGAAAGCGUGGGGAGCAAACAGG
This 253-nucleotide ribosomal RNA is filed under the name uncultured bacterium. RNAcentral describes it as "partial 16S ribosomal RNA". It matches the Rfam family "Bacterial small subunit ribosomal RNA", at positions 524 to 776 of the family's 1533-position model. The record is from RNAcentral.